Molecule: microRNA precursor, 67 nt
Filed under: Procavia capensis (Cape rock hyrax)
Lineage: Eukaryota; Metazoa; Chordata; Mammalia; Hyracoidea; Procaviidae
Description: microRNA 302d (ENSPCAG00000019914.1)
Rfam family: mir-302 microRNA precursor family
Source: RNAcentral
CCUCUACUCUAACAUGGAGGCACUUGCUGUGACACACUAAAAUAAGUGCUUCCAUGUUUGGGUGUGG